This 465-nucleotide ribosomal RNA is filed under the name uncultured bacterium. Its description in RNAcentral is "partial 16S ribosomal RNA". It matches the Rfam family "Bacterial small subunit ribosomal RNA", at positions 28 to 507 of the family's 1533-position model. The record is from RNAcentral.
GACGAACGCUGGCGGCGUGCUUAACACAUGCAAGUCGAACGGAAAGGCCCCCUUGUGGGGUACUCGAGUGGCGAACGGGUGAGUAACACGUGAGUAACCUCCCCUUGACUUUGGUAUAACUUCAUGAAACUGGGGCUAAUACCGCAUAGGAGCUCCUGCUGCAUGGUGGGGGUGGGAGAGUUUCGGCGGUUGGGGAUGGACUCGCGGCUUAUCAGCUUGUUGGUGGGGUAGUGGCUCACCAAGGCUUUGACGGGUAGCCGGCCUGAGAGGGUGACCGGCCACAUUGGGACUGAGAUACGGCCCAGACUCCUACGGGAGGCAGCAGUGGGGAAUAUUGCACAAUGGGCGGAAGCCUGAUGCAGCAACGCCGCGUGCGGGAUGACGGCCUUCGGGUUGUAAACCGCUUUCGCCUGUGACGAAGCGUGAGUGACGGUAAUGGGUAAAGAAGCACCGGCUAACUACGUG